GCAGAAAAUCUUAAGAGUUAAAGCACUUCAGAGAUUAAGCCUUGCUCAUAUUAUAGUUUUCAGUCAGGUGGAAGCUUGCAGAAUUUUAACGAAUUGGUAUGUAAUGAUUAUUUGUUUGCUUUUUUUGACCUUCGGUAUUUUUGCCAAUGCCUGCUAGUUUUUAAAGUGAGGACUUUGACUAGGCCGUUCUAGAACAUGAAUAUGGUUUGACGUAAACUGCUCUGCUGUAGCUCUCGCAGCACAUUUAGCAGUUUACGUCAAACCAUAUGAACCUCCACCUCUGUCUCAAGACUUUUGCCGUGUUAGACAUGUUUUCUUCCAGGAUAACCCUGUAUUUAGCCCCGUCCAUCCUUCCUAAAGCUUCCCAGCAGGAUGCUGCUGCCACCACCACGUUUCACUGCAGGGAAGGUGUGAUAAGCACUGUUAGUUUUGCAUGUUGGUCAAAAACGUUCAAUUUUGGUCUGAUCUGCCCAGAGAACAUUCUUCCACGUUAACCGUUUCUGUUUUCCCGGAAUGGAUUUUGUUCGGCUUGAAACUCGAGAUCUCUUGUGGCUUUCCUUUCUGUCAGCAACUUUCUUUUUUACUUCUGUUAGCAACUCUUCCAUAAAAACAGGUUUGCAGAGUGCAAACUAAUAGGUGUCCUGUCAACAGAUUUUUCCACCUGAGCUGUGAUUUGCGCAGUUACUCCAGUGCUCUGUGAGGUGAUUAAGGUUUGGGAUAUUGUUUUGCAACCU
This is a long non-coding RNA of Poecilia latipinna (sailfin molly), 734 nucleotides long. RefSeq lists it as uncharacterized. The transcript has 2 exons. The record is from RefSeq and is a predicted model, not a curated record. NCBI's taxonomy places the organism in Eukaryota, Metazoa, Chordata, Actinopteri, Cyprinodontiformes, Poeciliidae.